AUACGUAGGGGGCGAGCGUUGUCCGGAAUGAUUGGGCGUAAAGGGCGCGUAGGCGGCCCGGUAAGUCUGGAGUGAAAGUCCUGUUUUUAAGAUGGGAAUUGCUUUGGAUACUGUCGGGCUUGAGUGCAGGAGAGGGAAGUGGAAUUCCCAGUGUAGCGGUGAAAUGCGUAGAGAUUGGGAGGAACACCAGUGGCGAAGGCGACUUACUGGACUGUAACUGACGCUGAGGCGCGAAAGUGUGGGGAGCAAACAGGAUUAGAUACCCUGGUAGUCCACACUGUAAACGAUGAAUGCUAGGUGUAAGAGGUAUCGACCCCUUUUGUGCCGGAGUCAACACAAUAAGCAUUCCGCCUGGGGAGUACGGCCGCAAGGUUGAAACUCAAAUGAAUUGGCGGGG
RNAcentral lists this ribosomal RNA (397 nucleotides) under uncultured bacterium. RNAcentral's name for it is "partial 16S ribosomal RNA". It matches the Rfam family "Bacterial small subunit ribosomal RNA", at positions 523 to 918 of the family's 1533-position model. The record is from RNAcentral.